This 253-nucleotide ribosomal RNA is filed under the name uncultured bacterium. RNAcentral describes it as "partial 16S ribosomal RNA". It matches the Rfam family "Bacterial small subunit ribosomal RNA", at positions 524 to 776 of the family's 1533-position model. The record is from RNAcentral.
GACGGAGGAUGCAAGUGUUAUCCGGAAUCACUGGGCGUAAAGCGUCUGUAGGUGGUCAAAUAAGUCAACUGUUAAAUCUUGAGGCUCAACCUCAAAAUCGCAGUCGAAACUAUUAGACUAGAGUAUAGUAGGGGUAGAGGGAAUUUCCAGUGGAGCGGUGAAAUGCGUAGAGAUUGGAAAGAACACCGAUGGCGAAGGCACUUUACUGGGCUAUUACUAACACUCAGAGACGAAAGCUAGGGUAGCAAAUGGG